AGAAUCAACGCUAGCGGCGUGCCUAACACAUGCAGGUCGAACGAGAAAGUGGAGCAAUCCAUGAGUAAAGUGGCGACCGGGUGAGUAACACGUGACUAACCUACCUUCGAGUGGGGGAUAACCUCGGGAAACCGAGGCUAAUACCGCAUAACAUCGUGAGAUCAAAGCAGUAAUGCGCUGGAAGAGGGGGUCGCGGCUGAUUAGCUAGUUGGCGGGGUAAUGGCCCACCAAGGCGAAGAUCGGUA
This 245-nucleotide ribosomal RNA is filed under the name uncultured bacterium. Its description in RNAcentral is "partial small subunit ribosomal RNA". It matches the Rfam family "Bacterial small subunit ribosomal RNA", at positions 26 to 285 of the family's 1533-position model. The record is from RNAcentral.